ACAGCGAUAGCUCAGGUGGUAGAGCAUCUGCUUGGCAAGCAGAAGGUCGUCGGUUUGAUUCCUGCUCGCAGUG
Molecule: transfer RNA, 73 nt
Filed under: Fasciola hepatica (liver fluke)
Lineage: Eukaryota; Metazoa; Platyhelminthes; Trematoda; Plagiorchiida; Fasciolidae
Rfam family: tRNA
About the family: Transfer RNA (tRNA) molecules are approximately 80 nucleotides in length. Their secondary structure includes four short double-helical elements and three loops (D, anti-codon, and T loops).
Source: Rfam by way of RNAcentral